AAAUCCGCUUUGAUAAUGCUGGGAUGUGAUGGGGAGCGAAAUUUAGUAGCGAAGUAGCUGAUUUCACACUGUCAAGAAAAGUCUCUAUCGAGGUUAAAGGUACCCGUACCGCAAACCGACACAGGUGGGUGAGGAGAGUAUCCUAAGGCCAGCGAGAGAACUGUUGUUAAGGAACUCGGCAAAAUGACCCCGUAACUUAGGGAUAAGGGGUGCCACCAUCAGGUGGCCGCAGAGAAUAGGCCCAAGCGACUGUUUACCAAAAACAUAGGUUUCUGCUAAGUCGCAAGACGAUGUAUAGGAGCUGACGCCUGCCCGGUGCUGGAAGGUUAAGGGGAUCUGUUAGAGCAAUCGAAGCAGUGAACUUAAGCCCCAGUAAACGGCGGCCGUAACUAUAACGGUCCUAAGGUAGCGAAAUUCCUUGUCGGGUAAGUUCCGACCCGCACGAAAGGCGUAACGAUUUGGGCACUGUCCCAACAACAGACUCGGUGAAAUUGUAAUUCCGGUGAAGAUGCCGGAUACCUGCGACAGGACGGAAAGACCCCAUGGAGCUUUACUGUAGCUUGACAUUGGGUCUUGGUACUACAUGUACAGGAUAGGUGGGAGGCUUUGAAACCAGGACGCCAGUUUUGGCGGAGCCAUCCUUGGGAU
This 648-nucleotide ribosomal RNA is filed under the name Clostridioides difficile. Its description in RNAcentral is "bacterial LSU rRNA". It matches the Rfam family "Bacterial large subunit ribosomal RNA", at positions 1538 to 2198 of the family's 2925-position model. The record is from RNAcentral. Lineage: Bacteria; Bacillati; Bacillota; Clostridia; Peptostreptococcales; Peptostreptococcaceae.